UUUUAAAAUUUUCAUCCCUUUGUAUUGUUAAAAACUAGCUUAGCUGAAGAAUAACCAAAUAAUAACACGUGUUAUACCAUAUGUACCACGUACUAACAUACAAGGACCAGUUUUUAAUGAUAAGAAAUGGAUGAAUUUUUUAAUA
Molecule: non-coding RNA, 145 nt
Organism: Gossypium arboreum
Lineage: Eukaryota; Viridiplantae; Streptophyta; Magnoliopsida; Malvales; Malvaceae
Source: Rfam